UUCGUUCAUUAACCGCGCAAAUAAUUAACCGAAUGUGUAGUGUGUUAUGGGAUCACUUAAAAAUUACCACAUUCAAUCUAGUGUACUAUGUUCAGCUAACGUAACUAAUUAGCAGUAACGUGAAACGGAAAAAGAGAAUGAAACGCACACCGUUAUUCCGUGUCCGCGGUAACGCUACUUCGGCGAAUCGUGCGUAUGUUUUUUAUUAAUUCAAUACGACCGACAUUGGCAUGAAAGUGAAAUAAAACUCAAAAUAAAUCAUUUCGUAGAAAUCAAAACCAAAACAAUAAUAAAUUCAAUUUAAGAUAAAUCUAAAGAUUAAAAAUUAUCUAUGAAGCAUGUAAUCCGCAAUAUAAUAAAUAUAAUCAUAUUAUCUAAAA
Dalotia coriaria is the source of this 380-nucleotide long non-coding RNA. RefSeq lists it as uncharacterized. The transcript has 2 exons. NCBI's taxonomy places the organism in Eukaryota, Metazoa, Arthropoda, Insecta, Coleoptera, Staphylinidae. The record is from RefSeq and is a predicted model, not a curated record.